CUGCAUCCAUCGCUUGUCUCAAAGAUUAAGCCAUGCACAUAUAAGUAUAACUAAUUCAGGUUGUAAACUCCAAAUGGCUCAUUAAAUCAGUUAUAGUCUAUUUUAUGGUAUUUGCUACUCGAAUAACCUUAGUAAUUCUAGAGCUAAUAUGUGCAACAAAGCCUGAUUUCUAAAAGGGAUGCAUUUAUUAGAUAAAAACUCGGCACGGGCUCUACUCGUUGCUCUGAUGAUUCAUGAUAACUUGACAGAUCACACGGCCUUCGUGCCAGCAAUACAUGAUUCAAGUUUCUGUCCUAUCAACUUUCGAUGAUAGUAUAGAGGCCCACAAUACAGGAAGGCAGUAGGCGCGCAAAUUAUCCAAUCGUGACACGAUGAGAUAGUGACAAUAAAUAACAAUACCGGGCUCAUUGAGUGUGGUAAUUGGAAUAAGUGCAAUCUAAAUCGUUAACGAGGAUCCAUUGGAGGGCAAGUCUAGUGCCAAUAGCCAUGGUAAUUCCAGCUCUAAUAGCAUAUUUAACUUGUUACAGUUAAAAAGCUCAUAGUUGGACUUUAGGUUAGGUCUACUAGUCCACCUAUGGUGUAGUCGUCUCAUCCCUUUGAUCAGUGAUGCACUCCUGGGCUUAACUGCUUGGGUCAUGCCUCCGGUGUUGUAACUUUGAAGAAAUUAGAGUGUUUAAAGCAAGCCUACGCUCUGGAUAUAUUAGCAUUGUACAAGAUCAUAGGAUUUCGAUCCUAUUGUGUUGGCCUUCAAGAUCGGAGUAAUAAUUAAGAGGGACAGUAGGGGGCAUUCAUAUUUCAUAGUCAAAGGUGAAAUUCUUGGAUUUAUGAAAGAUAAUCAACUAUGAAAGCCUUUUGCCAAUGAUGUUUUUAUUAAUUAAGAAUGAAAGUUGGGAGGCUCAAAGACGAUUGGAUAUUGUCCUAGUCUCAACCACAAUUGAUGUCUACUAGGGAUAGACAGAUGUUGCUUUUAGGACUCCGCUAGCACCUUAAGAGAAAUCAAGUUUUUGGGUUAUG
Non-coding RNA from Populus trichocarpa (black cottonwood), 1014 nucleotides. The record is from Rfam. NCBI's taxonomy places the organism in Eukaryota, Viridiplantae, Streptophyta, Magnoliopsida, Malpighiales, Salicaceae.